Long non-coding RNA from Dromaius novaehollandiae (emu), 524 nucleotides. RefSeq lists it as uncharacterized. The transcript is spliced from 4 exons. Lineage: Eukaryota; Metazoa; Chordata; Aves; Casuariiformes; Dromaiidae. The record is from RefSeq and is a predicted model, not a curated record.
UGUUGUGAAAUUUAUACUACUCCCUCAAUCUCUGCUUCAAAAUAUUUGCCAGUUGAUGGGACAAAACUCACUCUGCAAAAUUUUCCAUUUCUUCUGGUUUACUGUUCAGUCCAUGACCAUUUUUUAUGCAAUUACUAUACAAGACAGCCCAGCAGAUCCCAUGAGGAGGAGUCCAGUGCUACUUCUACCAGAGGGUUGACAAAGCAGAGCAAAAUCACACUAGCAACAAGAACACAGGGGACUAUAAACUACUGUGGUGAGAGGUCAUGCUCCUGUCAUGUAUUUUAUUUGCCAACUGGAUACUAGAGACUAUAAUGACUGCACAUAAUUAAGAGCCAUCAGUGGUGGGUGGAAUAACUGUUUCAUAUUUUUAUCCUGCGUGAUAUUACUGCUGAGAGCUGAACUAUUACUUUUGUGCUCCAUUGGCAGCUGCUAAACUUAAUGAUGCGAAAUAAAUUGUCCCCUCUGGAAAAAACUAGUGGUUUUGUUUUGUUGGUUUUGUUUUGUUUUUGUUUUGUUGUGUU